GUGAGGUCCUGGAGGUGUAGGACCCCAGCACUGACGUCCCUGCGACCUGCGUCGCUCCUCGUGUAGAAUCACCAAGCACGCAGUUACCCCAUUUCACGGAGGAAGAGACUGAGGCCCCGAGCUUUGCCCAAGCUAACGCAGCCAGGACGGGAAGGAGAAGGGUUUGGGGAGGGGGAUUCCAAAGCGGGUCAGAUGGCUCCAGGGCCGGUUUCUUUCUUCUUUCUCUUCCUACGUUUCCUUUGGGUACUGGUUGUCCAGCAGCGCUCGGAGGAUUUGACACUGGCCCGGCAUAAAUAGCACCGAGCGCUAAUAAUUGGGCUUUGUUUUAAAAUGGGCCACCGCAUCUUUCUAAACCUCUCAAUUACGCGCGGUGUGACCUAGGCCCAGCCCGUGGGCGAGGAGCGGACUACGUGGCCGGGGCUCGGGGACACAGAGGACAAAUGCGUGGGAGCGCGUGGGGGCUCGUAGCUGAGCCCGGGGGUGCGGGAACCUGGGGGCCCCAGCGACCCAAACCCCGCGGACUGCGCGAGCGUCCCGGCCGGGCGGCGCCGGCGGCAGGGAGGAGGGCUGGGCCGGCGGGCGCUCGGCACAAAGUGUUCCCGAACACCGCGGGGAGGCCCUGCCAAGUUCUCGGCGGGCCUGACGCGGAAACGUAGAUAAUGAGGCCCAAGGGCGGGACCAGGCGCACUGCCCCAGCCGGCUCCCAACGGCACUGCCAGCGCCGCACAGUGCGGCGGCCGGGAGGCUUGGGGACAGGAAAACCCGGACGCGCCGAUCUACCUGUGGGAGAUGCGCCGCAAGGAUCCAGGAGGGCUGGAUCGCUUGGAACCCCACAGUGCGGCAGCAGGCGCUCCGUCGAAGGAACUGAGCCAAGCCUGUACUGGAGGCUGUGUUUUGUGCUGCGUGCUCAGACUCCAGCCCUGCACCUCACCUCUGUCUCCUACGCCAUCAAGGUAAAGUUCUGGCCUUUCAGCGAAGACAGGCGGCAGCCAUUCUCAGAAGACACAAGUCACCGUUUGUCAGCCUCAAAGAAACCAACCUUUCAGCCCAUGAGAGUGAAGCCAAAUGUUGUCCAGAGCUAAAAAGGCUUAUUUUUAGAAAGCAACAAACGGUGGUUUGUUUAUAGAGCUGGCACCAAAGAGCGACAUCAAAAGCAAAGAGCCUGCUCACUGAGGACUGAAGGCUCGGGAGGCACUAGGAAGGUUGUGUGGGGGAUGUUGGCCCUGAAGGCUAUGGAAGGAGGACUUUAAGAAUAUGCCGACUGAUGUCUGUAUGGCAGUCCGUCCAAGGUCAAAGGCAUCAACAGCAAUAGUGUCCACUCUGCCACACGCAGAAGCAUUUGACCUCCCUGCCCUCAGUUUCCGCACAUGCAAAAUGAAAAGCUUGGGCUGUAAAGUCCGUUUUGGGCUCCAAAAGUCCAUGACCUAUUUAAAUUAGAUGUAGGAUUUCAGGAAAUUGGGCUAAAUCUAUACGAGUCCUUGACCUUCCUUGAUGUUCUCUCAAAUGCAUUGUUUCAUUCAUUUCUGUAUAGACUACCAGUCUGUUUCAAUGCCAACCAUAUUUUUCUCUUUCUAAAGGAAGAAUGCAAUGCAAGCAAGCUUCUGGGGGUUCUGGGAGCACAGGGAAUGACUGAGUUCUGAGCCAUGGGAGAUUCCAGAGUGAAAAUUCCCAGAGCUCUGUUUCUGAAAGCGAGCACACGCUUCCGUCUCAAGACUAGAAGGUGCUGGGUCCCCACAGAAGCUCUAAGGUUGCUCCCUGCUGCCUUCAGCAGACACUGCAGGAAGCUGGGUCUGCCUGAGAGAGACCCGAGUUUGCACCAGAGACCCCCACCCUCCUCCCCACCCUCUUGUCUUCUCGUCCCUUCCCUGGGGGCCCCAGGCGCCCUUCCUACCCAGAGCUCUGCUAUCAGAAAGGAAAGCAUGCUGAUGGAAGGAAGCUCUGUACUAUGUUGGAAAGAAGCAUGCAUAGCUCUGAAAACCAAGCUUGCCCUGCAGGUUGGCAGAGCGUAGGGCAAAGGCUAGUUGUAUGGGUCCCACGGUCUAACCUCAGGCACAGCUGUUCGAAUCCCAGCUCUUACGUGUGGAUAGUGGUGCCGUUUAGAGCUAAUAUAGCCAAAAGACUAGUCAGAGUAGAAGCCUCAUCGGUGGGAGCCAUGAAAAUAAAUAUAGCCAUUUCAUGGGAGAGUUAGUGUAUUAUUUUUAUUAAGCCUAAGACAGUGUUUGAUUUCCAUUUGAACCACUGGGACUGUCCCUGUGACCAAAUACACUUUCCUUUCUUAGGUAAGGAUGAAAGUAGUUUCCAACGUAUCCAUCUCAAUGACAGUGGCCCUGGUCCCCUCGUGGGACACUGGAAUGGGUUUUAAUACCAUAUUUUGUUUUCUUUCUCCUGUGAACUGGCUAGAACAUCGUCUCUGAUCCUGGUUCUUGAAUAUUCUUCUUUUCUCCCCACCUCUUUUCCACUUUGUCAGUCUCCUCAGAGCUGGCUCACCUCCUCCCCCUCUCCCUCUGCCCAGAAUGGUCCCUGUCCCCCAACCCACGGUGAUACACCCGAGUUCUUGACACCUGGCUUUCCUCCAAAAUGGCAGCCAAACCCGACGCCAACCUCCAGAACUUUUUCAUCUUGCAAAACUGAAACACGAGCUGUCCAGUCACCCCUCCUUCCAGGACCUCACGAACACUAUUCUACUUUCUGUCUUUAUGAGUUUGACUAUCUUACGUGCCCGUGUAGCUGUCCUUUUGUGGCUGGCCUGUUUCACGUAGCAUAACGUCCUCAAGAUGCAUCCGUGUUGUGGCACGUGUCAGAGUCUCCUUCUUUUUCAAGGCCGAGUAACAUUCCGCCCGUUGUAUGUACGCAUUACCUUACCCCCUCUAGGGACUUCGUCUCUCUCCUAAAGAAGAAAAGGGAAUGGUCACGCACAUGCUCAGAUGGUUUCCCUUUGGUCAGCAGCGGUAAAAACCCUUCAUCAAAAACCUCAGGAAGUAAGAAGCCCCCAGUGAUAAAACCUGGAUCAUACUAAUGUGACGUGUCUAUUUGUCAAAUAAUUCAUUUGCAAUGAGCAGAAGGCUCUUGAAUAUAUCAUCUUGGGCUCAUGGCUGAAUUCUUUAUUGCUGUUGAACUUACCAGAUGUGUCAUGUUCUCGGUGAUACUUUAAGUCCCUUGGGGCUUAUGUACACAGUGUCCUUCACCUGAGACAAAGUGGCUGUCUUUGAAAAAAUACUUCAUUUUGCUCACUGCUAAGCAAGCCAAUGAUGGAACUGUCUUGAUGCCAAUAAGGACUGCACCAAAACACUCAUCACCAAAGAGAGAAAAACUUGCAUCAGAAUGAAGAAAUUCCAUAUCUCUCCUCUCUACGUGAAUGCAUUAGCAAGCUUUUAGCCAGAUGAAAUAAUACAGGGUAAGCUAUCUUGAUAACUUUUUCUUGUGUACAGCAAUGUCUACUGCUCACCUUCUGAGUGUCUGCAAUAAACAUGCUUUAAUAUGAACUUGA
Long non-coding RNA from Mustela lutreola (European mink), 3487 nucleotides. RefSeq lists it as uncharacterized. The transcript has 4 exons. Lineage: Eukaryota; Metazoa; Chordata; Mammalia; Carnivora; Mustelidae. The record is from RefSeq and is a predicted model, not a curated record.